RNAcentral lists this transfer RNA (76 nucleotides) under Deltaproteobacteria bacterium. Its description in RNAcentral is "tRNA-Lys". It matches the Rfam family "tRNA". Rfam says of the family: Transfer RNA (tRNA) molecules are approximately 80 nucleotides in length. The record is from RNAcentral. Lineage: Bacteria; Pseudomonadati; Myxococcota; Myxococcia.
GGGCCUGUAGCUCAGUUGGUAGAGCAGUUGACUCUUAAUCAAUUGGCCGACAGUUCGAGUCUGUCCAGGCCCACCA